RNAcentral lists this non-coding RNA (182 nucleotides) under Protocruzia adhaerens. Lineage: Eukaryota; Ciliophora; Spirotrichea. The record is from RNAcentral.
GUGCUUAUCGGUUGUUUUACAACUUCAUUUUGGUUUUUUUUCUCUUUCUUUCCUAUCUCAAAAUCGCAUUUGAAGAAAUAGAACAAACACAUCUCAAGCAGAGAUACAAGGAAAAAAAAAAACAAAAAAAUUCGCGGAUUUUACAUAAAAAUGCAAUGUCACACCUUUCGUUAAGAAUUAAA